Molecule: long non-coding RNA, 693 nt
Organism: Acinonyx jubatus (cheetah)
Lineage: Eukaryota; Metazoa; Chordata; Mammalia; Carnivora; Felidae
Exons: 3
Source: RefSeq, a predicted model, not a curated record
AGAAGCCAAGAUGGAGGAACAGCAUGGAAGGUUUUUUUGCGUCUCUCCUCCUCGAAAUACAACCUGAUUAACACUAAACCAUCCUGCACACCUAGAAAACUGAUUUGAGGAGUAACGCGACAAUUUGCACAAUCUGGAACCACAGAACUAAGCAGACGGAGCACAAGCUGAGAAGGAGCAGAGAGAGGGAGACAGAAUCUGAAGCAGGCUCCAGGCCCAACACAGGGCUCAAACCCGUGAACUGCGAGAUCACAACCUGGGCCAAAGUCGGACACUUAAUCAACCUGAGCCACCCAGGUGCCCCAGCAUUGUGAUUUUUAGGAACUAGCAGUCAUGUUAUAGGACUGAGUGCACACGUAAAACACUCAGCUCACGGUUCUUUCCCCAUUAUGAAUUGACUUCAUCCUCAUGCUUUGCUUGUGGAUUAUUUUUCUGAUUAUACACAAAAGGAAAUGCAAACGCAGAGAAGUCACUUGCCCAAGAUCACACAACCAAGUCCCAGCAGAUAAAAGGCCUGAUCCCUGCCUUCAAAUUUCUUAAGAUACAAAAGACACAGAUAUUACUUCUAAACCUAUAUCCAAACACUGAGAGCAAAACGUACAUAAGAGCAUGGCCCUUUGGGAGUCAAAAGGUGGAGAGGAGAGAGGGCAUUCCAUCAUAAAAGAAUCCUUGAAGAGGUAAAUUGGAACUGUA